AUUGAACGCUGGCGGCAGGCCUAACACAUGCAAGUCGAGCGGAUGAAGGGAGCUUGCUCCUGGAGUCAGCGGCGGACGGGUGAGUAAUGCCUAGGAGUCUGCCUGGUAGUGGGGGGUAACGUCCGGAAACGGGCGCUAAUACUGCAUACGUCCUGCUGGAGAAGGUGGGGGAUCUUCGGACCGCACGCUAGCAGAUGAGCGUAGGUCGGAUUAGCUAGUUGGUGGGGUAAGGGCCUACCAAGGCGACGAUCCGUAACUGGCCGGUGUGAAGGAUCAGUCACACGAGAACGGGGACACGGUCCAGACUCCUACGGGACGCCGCAGUGGGGAAUGUUGGACAAUGGGCGAAAGCCUUAUCCAGCCAUGCCGCGUGUGUGAAGAAGGUCUUCCGAUUGUAAAGCACUUUAAGUUGGGAGAAAGGGCAGUAAGUUGAUACCUUGCUGUUUUGACGUUACCGACAGAAUAAGCACCGGCUAACUUCGUG
This 484-nucleotide ribosomal RNA is filed under the name uncultured bacterium. RNAcentral describes it as "partial 16S ribosomal RNA". It matches the Rfam family "Bacterial small subunit ribosomal RNA", at positions 30 to 507 of the family's 1533-position model. The record is from RNAcentral.